This 94-nucleotide transfer RNA is filed under the name Deltaproteobacteria bacterium. Its description in RNAcentral is "tRNA-Ser". It matches the Rfam family "tRNA". Rfam says of the family: Transfer RNA (tRNA) molecules are approximately 80 nucleotides in length. Their secondary structure includes four short double-helical elements and three loops (D, anti-codon, and T loops). Lineage: Bacteria; Pseudomonadati; Myxococcota; Myxococcia. The record is from RNAcentral.
GGAGAGAUGUCCGAGUUGGCUUAAGGAGCACGAUUGGAAAUCGUGUAGGCGGCUAAUAACCGUCUCGGGGGUUCAAAUCCCCCUCUCUCCGCCA